RNAcentral lists this ribosomal RNA (359 nucleotides) under uncultured Desulfobulbus sp. RNAcentral describes it as "bacterial SSU rRNA". It matches the Rfam family "Bacterial small subunit ribosomal RNA", at positions 1022 to 1382 of the family's 1533-position model. Lineage: Bacteria; Pseudomonadati; Thermodesulfobacteriota; Desulfobulbia; Desulfobulbales; Desulfobulbaceae. The record is from RNAcentral.
AAGAAUCUGGAGACAGGUGCUGCAUGGCUGUCGUCAGCUCGUGUCGUGAGAUGUUGGGUUAAGUCCCGCAACGAGCGCAACCCUUGCCUUUAGUUGCCAGCAGUUCGGCUGGGCACUCUAAAGGGACUGCCGGUGUUAAACCGGAGGAAGGUGGGGAUGACGUCAAGUCCUCAUGGCCUUUAUGACCAGGGCUACACACGUACACAAUGGCCGAUACAAAGGGCAGCGACACUGCGAGGUGAAGCCAAUCCCGUAAAAUCGGUCUCAGUCCGGAUUGGAGUCUGCAACUCGACUCCAUGAAGUUGGAAUCGCUAGUAAUCGUGGAUCAGCAUGCCACGGUGAAUACGUUCCCGGGCCUU